UUCUCUGGAAUGUGAAGACCAUAGGCAUGUGGCCCAGUUCCUUUCAGUUCACCCCGGAGAACCAUCAAAUUCUUCUCCAUGUCACUUGGUCAAAAAGGAAAAAUGAGGAAGCUGGGUAAUGCUGAUAAGGCUUUUGAAUAGGAGAUAAAGUACCUGAUGAAGAGCAUGUCUACACACCACCUCUUUGGAGAAAGAGGCAGAGUGAAAAGCCACAAACUCUUAGAAAAUAUCAGUUAACAUAAGUGGGAAAGUAAAAAGCGUUCGAAAGCACAGUCAGCCUAAGGAACUUGGUUUCAGCUACGAAGAUUUGAAUGGAAGAACGCAAUUUUUACAUUCAUCAGGUAAUUCCAUUUAAAAAUCUGUGCCUAAUUUAGUAAAAAGGCAAACUAGAACUAUAUUUGGGGCACAUUUUAUAUAUCUUUAUAUGCAGAUUUACUUUGGCCAUAAAGCUCAAGUAGGAGCCUUACCAAGUGGCAAACAUACUAACACCUUUUUCCUACUGAGUUUUUUGACUAAACUUCUGUCUCAAAUUUGUAUUCCAAGAAUAGGAGGAGAUUUAUUUUUUUUUUAAAUCCUUCAUCCAGCAGUAGAAUUGAUGCAGGAAUGUUUCUGGGUACUCUCAGGACAUUCAUCUUCUGAGCAAUCUGCAAGAUUUGAAUUAUUAUAAGUUUUAAAAUUUCUUUUCAGUUAAUUUAAUUCUCCUAAGUUUUAGCAGCUUUUUACAGUUGGCAGUUACUGAAGCUGCAGUUCAGCUACUCCGGUACACUUCACAAAGUCAAGCCUUUAAAAUCUGUGGAUGCUUUCUUGUCUGCUAUUGUACCUCAUGCCAGCAACUACAGAUGAUAAGUCAUUAAAUACAAGACAGAGGGUUGUGAGCAAAAAAAAAAUUUAUUAAAUAUGAGACUUAUGUCUGACCUGCUUCACCCAAUUUUGUCUCUGUGGCAACAGCCACAAGCAUGUGACAAAACAUUUGGGAUUUUUCUGAAGUUUACAUACUUAAAAUGUCACUUUUCAAGAAUGCAUCAUCUUUUAUUCUUAAGCAGGUUUCAAAAGUGCAGAGCAUGUUUACAGGAAAACGAAUCUUGUGAAUGUAAAGCUUCACCAGAUAAUGCAUUAAAGACCCUCCGAACAGUGGGCACGGCCAAAAGUUGCACACAUCUCUGUUCACUUACCUGGUCUGGCUGUGCUUUGGGAAGGGGCAAGUCAAUCUUCUGAACACAAGUCUAGAAUACUCUGGUAUAAUAAUCACUAAAUCUAUUGCAUGUUCUUUACUUAAAAUGAUCCAGAAGAACUGUUAUAGUUUACUACAAAUAUUUUAACUGUGCAAGAUGGGAAAGACUCAAAAUUAUUCUUACCUUCUAUUGCUACAUAAAAUGUAAUCAUACUGUAGACAAAUUUGCCAUGCUGAUGCAUACUAUCAUUAGAUUGCAGAUUACUGGACUGAAAAUCAUAGCCAAAGUAUAUAUUUUUAUUUAGAAAAUCUCAACUGUCUGUUUCCAUAUCAGUUCAUCUAUUAUUCAACAUUUUAAAGUUUUAUGAAAUUAAUACUUCUUCACCAAUGAAGAAAUUCUGAUGACCUGAUACUCAGAAAUACAAAAUCAUUUACUGUAUCUUAAAGCUCUCCCAAAAGCCAUGUAGUAGUGACAUUAUCUCCUGUGUCCCAGCUCUACUGGUUAACUUGUUGUCCUGGGGUGACUUUAUGAUACUGGUAUCCCCAAUCGUCUGGUUUAUGUUAUAUA
Molecule: non-coding RNA, 1739 nt
Organism: Pseudopodoces humilis (Tibetan ground-tit)
Lineage: Eukaryota; Metazoa; Chordata; Aves; Passeriformes; Paridae
Source: RefSeq, a predicted model, not a curated record